Long non-coding RNA from Olea europaea var. sylvestris, 1149 nucleotides. RefSeq lists it as uncharacterized. The transcript is spliced from 2 exons. NCBI's taxonomy places the organism in Eukaryota, Viridiplantae, Streptophyta, Magnoliopsida, Lamiales, Oleaceae. The record is from RefSeq and is a predicted model, not a curated record.
UAAUUUGUUUCAUUAAUUUCAACAAAACUUCGUUCAAUAAAUCUAUAAUAAAUAAUUAAGGAUCGAUAAGUGGAAAACAUUAAUCUUUAAAGGAAAAUCAAGAAUUCCCUAGCAAGGUUCCGAUACAAAAUGUAAGCAAUUAAACCCUAACACCAAGAUCUUUAAAAUUCAUGAUUUUCACAUAUGAAUUUAAUUGAUCAAGAUACAUACCUUGAUCCAUGGCAAUAGUUGAUAAUUUUAAAUCUGCAAAAGAGAAACUGUUAAAUUAAAGAAACUAUUCUCUCACUUUUCCUCUCUAUAAGUGAAUGAAUUAAUUGAUAAGUUUCACUCACGUUUAUAGGCAGAGAGAGGUGGUUUCUUAUGGGUCAUAAAACUGUCUACUUUUCAUCAAAGUGGACGGUUAUUAAACUGCCACUUCUCAAAUGGGCCGAUUGGAUUUAAUAAAUAUAAACCACUUUAAUUAAUUAUUUAAUGAUAUUACAUGGGCCACAAUUAAUUAAUUUUACAUCUGUUUCAUCUUCCUCUAGUAGUACGUUCGAAUCUUCAGAAUCUGAUUUGUUUGAAAAAAUAAACGCAUCUGAUUAGCAUGCAAAUGGUCAUUUACAAGACAUGUCUUCUUUGAUCCAACAACUGCCCAUCAAAAGAGGGCUUUCGGAGCAUUGCAAUGGCAAAUCACAAUCCUUUACUUCUUUAUCAAACGUGAGGUGCUUAGAAGACCUUGCAAAACCUGAGAAUCCGUAUAAUAAGAAUAAGAAGCUCAAGUCGUGCAAAAGUGAUGGAGGAAUUUAGAGGGGUACUACUGAUGUAGGCAGCCUCGGAAAAGCAAGAUUGAUUCAAGAAUUAUUCAAAAGAAGACAUCAAGAGGGUCUUGUGGGAGGAAGAGUUCGAGGCCUCCUAUACCCUCACCUCAUAGAUCAACUAGCUUUACAAAUCAAGCCCCUUUGUUUGCUUAAAGGGUUUAUCGCUUGGUGCUAGCUAGUAGCAAAUCCAAUCUUGUUUCAUUCAUCAAUACAAUUCUCUCUUCUUCAAUUUCCAUGAAGAAAAGAGAUCUUUAUUAGCUAGACGAUCAUUGCUUUUUGGUGUAGUGAGUUGUACAAGGAAGUAAUUAAGAAAAAAAUUAAACAAAAAAGGUCAUAAAUUUUCUUUUAA